This 177-nucleotide ribosomal RNA is filed under the name uncultured Dinobryon. Its description in RNAcentral is "partial Eukaryotic small subunit ribosomal RNA". The record is from RNAcentral. Lineage: Eukaryota; Chrysophyceae; Chromulinales.
GAUCCUUUUCAUUUAAAUCUCACCAUGUUUAAUAACGACUGUACUAUAUCAGUUGAAUUGUUGCUUAGCAUUCUUAGAGGGACUUUUGGUGACUAACCCAAGGAAGUUGGCAGCAAUAAUCGGUCUGUGAUGCCCUUAGAUAUCCUAGGCUAGAUGUGCGUCAAUUGUUAAGUAAAA